GGAAUAUUGGUCAAUGGGCGCAAGCCUGAACCAGCCAUGCCGCGUGCAGGAAGAAUGCCCUAUGGGUUGUAAACUGCUUUUAUUUGGGAAUAAACCUUUCUACGUGUAGGAAGCUGAAGGUACCAAAUGAAUAAGCACCGGCUAACUCCGUGCCAGCAGCCGCGGUAAUACGGAGGGUGCAAGCGUUAUCCGGAAUCAUUGGGUUUAAAGGGUCCGCAGGCGGAUUUAUAAGUCAGUGGUGAAAGCCUACAGCUUAACUGUAGAACUGCCAUUGAUACUGUAAGUCUUGAAUUCGGUCGAAGUGGGCGGAAUGUGUAGUGUAGCGGUGAAAUGCAUAGAUAUUACACAGAACACCGAUAGCGAAGGCAGCUCACUAGGCCUGGAUUGACGCUCAGGGACGAAAGCGUGGGGAUCAAACAGGAUUAGAUACCCUGGUAGUCCACGCUGUAAACGAUGAUUACUCGUUUUCGGCGAUAUACAGUCGGAGACUAAGCGAAAGUGAUAAGUAAUCUACCUGGGGAGUACGAUCGCAAGGUUGAAACUCAAAGGAAUUGACGG
Molecule: ribosomal RNA, 558 nt
Filed under: uncultured bacterium
Lineage: Bacteria
Description: bacterial SSU rRNA
Rfam family: Bacterial small subunit ribosomal RNA
Source: RNAcentral